GACGAACGCUGGCGGCGUGCUUAACACAUGCAAGUCGAACGGAAAGGCCCUGCUUUUGUGGGGUGCUCGAGUGGCGAACGGGUGAGUAACACGUGAGUAACCUGCCCUUGACUUUGGGAUAACUUCAGGAAACUGGGGCUAAUACCGGAUAGGAGCUCCUGCUGCAUGGUGGGGGUUGGAAAGUUUCGGCGGUUGGGGCUGGACUCGCGGCUUAUCCGCUUGUUGGUGGGGUAGUGGCUUACCAAGGGUUUGACGGGUAGCCGGCCUGAGAGGGGGACCGGCCACAUGGGGACUGAGAUACGGCCCAGACUCCUACGGGAGGCAGCAGUGGGGAAUAUUGCACAAUGGGCGGAAGCCUGAUGCAGCAACGCCGCGUGCGGGAUGACGGCCUUCGGGUUGUAAACCGCUUUCGCCUGUGACGAAGCGUGAGUGACGGUAAUGGGUAAAGAAGCACCGGCUAACUACGUG
This 468-nucleotide ribosomal RNA is filed under the name uncultured bacterium. Its description in RNAcentral is "partial 16S ribosomal RNA". It matches the Rfam family "Bacterial small subunit ribosomal RNA", at positions 28 to 507 of the family's 1533-position model. The record is from RNAcentral.